GGAGGACUGGCCGAGAGGUCGAUGGCGGCUGACUUGAAAUCAGUUAGAGUGCAAGCUCUCAGGGGUUCGAAUCCUCUGUCCUCCGCCA
Molecule: transfer RNA, 88 nt
Filed under: Synergistaceae bacterium
Lineage: Bacteria; Thermotogati; Synergistota; Synergistia; Synergistales; Synergistaceae
Description: tRNA-Ser
Rfam family: tRNA
About the family: Transfer RNA (tRNA) molecules are approximately 80 nucleotides in length.
Source: RNAcentral